This 7591-nucleotide long non-coding RNA is filed under the name Capsicum annuum. Its description in RNAcentral is "long non-coding RNA (CANN_LNC001639)". The record is from RNAcentral. Lineage: Eukaryota; Viridiplantae; Streptophyta; Magnoliopsida; Solanales; Solanaceae.
GCGAGAGAGUAAGAGUGACCAAUCUGGUUUAGAGGAGGCAAAGAAUGAUGAGUUGAUAUUAAGAGAGAGAAAUAACCUGAUUUAUCAAUUUAAAGAGGUGAUUGUUGUCAUCAAAAGAUAUUUCUUUUGAAAUGGCAUGUUUGAUCCUGAUUAAAGCAACUUUCAUUUUGCAAAAGAAUUGACAACUUUUAUUUAGAGAAUGAAAAACACAAGGCUUUCUAGACAACAUUUUAUGAUUAUUAAAGCAUACUGUAGCGAUACCAACCUAAGAGAUAAGACCAAGUCCCUCUUUUUUGAGUGAAUCUUCAAAUUUAUGCAAGUCACAUUUGUCCAUUUUCAAAGUUGUUCCCAUGGGUUUAUACCUGCAAGGGGAUGGUACUGAUUUAGACUAAUAUGCACUUACUUUGUCAAGGAUAUUUGUCUUCUUAUCAUAGCCAAUUUUAUGGAGAGACGUUAAUUCACGUAUUAGGUUAAGUCAGUAUCAUGCUUUAAUCUCUGCACACUCCUUUUAUCUUCAAUACCUAUUCCCAAAGAAGGUCUAGGACCAGGUCCCGGAAUUGACUUUAUUUGAGUUGCUGAAGCUUCUCCUUCUGAGAUGAAUUUCCUAGGGAAUAGGUUCCUGAGAAUCAAGACUUAUCUGCAUCGUUCAUCCUUUUGCUCAUUAUUUUUAGCACUACCAAGAACCAAUAAUUUUCCUAACUAAUCAGGAACUACAUACACCCCUUAUAUGAAUCCAUAAAAUUCUUUUUCAGUUCAUUCUCCAAAGCAUUUUCAUUCAUCAAAUCUAAAGGUCAUUCUAGGGCUUCCUUUUGAACAUAAGCUUCAUACACCCCUUUUUUGAACAUCAACUUUUAUAAUCCAAGUACUAGGUCCUUAAGCUCAACUUUUCACAAUAAUACACCUUUACCUAAAGUGUCUUAAGAGAGAGAACAUAGUCAGACCUUCCAUCAUUGAGCUUUGAACUCUUUCAAUCAGCGAUCUAUUCCUAACUGCAAUACCCUUCCCAUUCUUGGAAUCAUGAUCACAAGUUAAAUUUGGGAACCCAUUUAAGAUUAAGUUCCUAGUAGGAAGAUAAUGGUAUGAUCAAAUUCUUCUUAGCCCAUCUAGGUAGUGAUAGCUUCCUUUUUACUUUUUUCAGAGACUCAAAGCCCCUAAGGAUGUGCAUUAUCCUACUGAGUGUAUUCAGUAUUCCUUAAUUUUUCCUUAAGCUAGUGCUGACAUCUUUCGUUCAAAUGUUCAUUUCUUUCAUAGUGAGUGCACAAGAGUUUGUGCCCUUUGCUUCUAUAUCAUGGGCAACCUUUCCUUUAGACUCAACAGAUUGGCAUUUUCCUUGAUAUCCCAGACCUAUAACAUCAUUAACACCUUGACUAGUCAAGUAAAAAAGGACCAGUGAAGAAGUAGUCCACUUCAGAUACUUAUUCAACUCUUCUUUCAAGUGGACUAGGUCCCUCUCUAACUCUUCAUUUUUGUGAAGUUCUGACAUAAGGUGUUUUUGUGUAGCUUUCAAUUUCUCCUCGAGAUCAAUCUGAAGCCUUGAGGAUUUUUUCUUCCUUUUACCAUCUACACCAUUUACCUUCUUCAAAUUCAGAUUUUUAGAUUUCAUCUUUGUGAAUAACUCUUCAAUUCCAAAAAUUUGGAGAGUUAAAGCAAUCAGCUCAUGCUCUUGAUCCUCUACUUUUUCUUCUAAGGCAUUCUUCUCAGCAGUUAGUUCACAUGCAUAGUCUAUCAACACACUUGCAAGCUUUUUUAUCUUCCUAGCAGAAUAGUUAUCUAGAUUUUCCUUUAUAUCAGAGGAAGUUACCUCAUCUUUUUCUUCAUCAUCUGUAUUUUCCAUGAAAGAAAAUAAGAAAUUAUAGACAACUAGAUUAUCUUCCACUGCUAUCAUGGAAAGAUCUCCAGUUUUCUCAUCUUCACUUGAAUCACUGGAAGAGUAUCCCCAUGCUGCCAAAGAUUGCUUUACAGCAUAUUCAGCUGUUGUCUUUCUUCUUGAAUCUUUAGGGACUUGGUCCUUGUUAUUUCCCUUGUCACCUCUAGUCUUGACGUAGCCCUAGUAAUCCAUUUUUUUGUAGUAGACAACCUUUAAUGAAAUGCUCAUGACUUCCACAUUUAUGAAAUACCUCAGUAGUAAUUCCCUUUUUGUUGUUGUUUUCUUUUGUUUUGAACUAACCACUCAUCUUCAUGGCUUUAACAAUCCUAUUUACCAAAUAGGUAACAUCAGUGUCUUCAUCAUCAACUAGAUCAUAUUUAAAAGCUUUCAAUGCCAGGAAUUUUUCUCUUUUUGCUUCCUUUUUCUCCGGCCUUUGCAACUUUUUCAACUCAUCAGUCUUUAGAUUUUCAUUGAGUUCAUCCAUUGUGAGGGUUUUCAAGUUCCUUGCUUCAUUUAUGGCUUCCACUUUGCUCUCCCAGGACUUAGUAAGAACACCAAGAAUUUUUCUCACUGGUUUGUACAAGGGAAUCAUUUGACCUAAGCAGUGAAGCUCAUUUGUGAUAGAAGUGAACCUUGUAUGCAUUUUUGGAUUGUUUCUCCUUCUUUCAUGGUGAAGGUUUCAUACUAAGUAGUCAGCAUGUCUACUUUUGAAUAUUUCACAUUAGUGGUGCCUUCAUGAGCAGUCCUCAAGUAAUCCUAGAUUUUUUUAGCAUUUUCACAAGCUGAGAUCCUAUUGUAUUCAUCAGGACCUAUGCCAUAUAAUAAAAAUUUCUUGGUUUUGUAAUUUUUUUAAAUGUUCUUCCUGUCUUUAUCAUGGCACUCUCUUCUAUUUUUAACAACCAUUUUUGUAACCUCUCCUUCUUUAACUUAUUUAACAUGCACAUGAGGACCAUCAAGAAUUAUGUUCAUCAACUCACUAUCUUCAGUCAUAGUGAAGUCAAACAUCCUGGUUUUCCACCACUCAUAAUACUACUCAUUGAAUCUUGCUGGUCUAGUGGUAGAUUGUCUUUCUUUUAGAUUAUGUGGAGCAGUCAUGCUAACUAGGACACUCUAGGUGUGAACCUAUUAUAGAGACCUUCUCUAAUAUCAAUUGUUAAAACCCUUGGGGGUUGCACCACACAGUGAGGGACCAGGUCCCUCAAAAUCUAUGACAAGAAAAGUACACAAAAAUAACCAAAAAGUAAGAGACAAUGUUAGAAGAGUAAAGACACAAAGAUUCUUAUGUGGAAAUCUAGGAAGGUAAAAACCACGGCUUGUCCUCGCAAGCACCAAAGAAAUCAGUUAUAAUCAACCUCCUGAUUACAUUCUACAUUUUAGCCUACCUCUAGGCUUCUUUCACUAGUAGACACUCUACUACCAGCUCAUCUUGGUAACUCUACUAAGAACCCUCUCUACUGAUUAGCUCUAAUCAAUCACAAGCUUAGGCAACUCUACUUAAGCACAUCUCUCAAUAAAAAAAACACUACUCAUAUAACAUGAGUAGUUCAAUUACGAACCAUUACUCACUCAAGCACAUUCACUCACUCAUUAAGCAUAUUACAAAUAUAAAAACAUGAGUAAUGAUUGAGCAAUCUUGAAAUGGAGUUUUUGCUGCCACUUUUAAUUCUUUGAUUUUUACAAAAACUAAUUUGAUGAAGAGGAGUCUAUUUUCUUUUAUAGCAAGUGAUGAUUAGGGCUGAAAGAUCAUUGGACCAGCUGUUCUAAUCAAUAUAAAACUGCACCUGCAAAUUUGUUAUACAAGAGGACAAAACUUUACAAACAACACGUGCCAGCUGUACUGUACCAUGUACAUCGAGGAACCUGGUCCCUUGCAGUUAGUUUCCCAUCAUUAAAACUACAUGUAGAACUAAGUGUAUCCAGACUCAUCAUAAUAAUGAAUAAACUGAGAUACUAUAAAGCAUAAAUAGCAAAGUCUAAAAUUGGUAAAGUUAGUGAGUCGAUACACUUAAUUUCUAAAAUCAUCCUUUUUUUGGGAGAUUCUUACAACCGACAUAAACCAUGUAAGCAUCACGGAGUCCAACGUCUAACCCCUAUUGAGAAGGGUUGACCCAUACCUUGCUAUCGGUAUAGAACGUGAACUGGAAUGAUCACUAAAUUGAGCCUAUUUAGGCAAGGGAGAUACUUUCUGGCGUGGAACCCUUUAACCUAUGAUGACAUAUGGUUUUUGGGAAUUGGGUGUGCUGAACUCGCAUCCCCUCAGUUCUAAAUACUACUCCCCAUCGCGCCUUAUUUUUCUCGUAAAAAGCAGAAUUUGAUGUGACCACUCUUCUUGGGAUUGUUUUAAGGAAGAAGUGUGAAGAGUCGCCACCUAACGAAUUAAGGUGCGUUAGGGUACCGAUCUAGGAUAACUACAAACCUAUUUUGUUAUUUAGUUUUAGUUCAUCAGAGUUCGGGUAAGGGUUCAAAUUACCUCAAAAGGAAGGUGUUAGGCACCUUUCGAGGUCCACAAAGGUGGUUCCCGACCGAGUUCAUAUUUUACGUGGGGAUUCUAUGUGAUCAAAUAAAAGUCUCUUAUUUUAACUUAAUUGUUAACUAAGUGAUGAAGUAAUUAAUGAACAGACACAUAUUAUUUUAUUAUUUCUAAUUGUUGAUUAUCUAAGUGAUAAAAACAUAAUAUUAUAAACGAGGAGAAAGAAAUUGCAUAAUUUAUAACAAAAAGGGGACUGCUUAUUUAAAAAAACUAACUACCCCAAAUAAAUAAGCAUGUAAAGUAAAUAAAAAAAAUUAUCAAAUCAAACAAAGAAAUUGUUUUGGUCUCAUUCAAAUCAAAACCCCAAAUUGUUUAAUCAUCAUCCGACCUAGUGGCCGAACUCUUAGACAAGUCAUAUGUCUUACCUUUAAUGUAUAUUAGAGAUCGUCACUUCCGAAUGACUACCUGUUCCACCCCAUCUAGGUUGUUUGUUAAAUCUAAAGGCGUUCUAAGACAAGGAUAAAACUAACGUCUUUAGUAAUAUCUAUCGCCCCAUCGUCCAAGAGGCAUUGGACUUUUCUAUUUUAGUUUUGUGGUCUAGACAAAUAAAGCUAUGUAGCCUAGGACUCGAAACACGUAACAAAUAGGACGCCACGUAGCACAUAAUUGUCCCAAGUUAUCAUGUUGAUUAAUUAAAGUUGAUUAGUGUGAUUAACAUGCAAAGAUAAAUAAUAGCUAUUUUUGUGUUAUUAAUCUAUAGGCAUGAUAUCUAAGUGUUCAACAAGUGUUAGUGUGACAAAAUGUAACUGCCCAAACAUUUAUAACAAUGUGGCAAAAAUUCAUGAGAAGACAUGUCAAAAUUAAACAAGUGUUAAAGAAUAAGAACGUUAAUUUAUUACAUAAAGCUAAUUAAGCAUGAUGUCUAAGUGAAAAGUUAUUGCUAUGUCAAGAGGGAAUUAGUAAAUGCAUCAAAAGUAUGUCAUGAAUUUGUUAAAUGACGUGUCUAAGUCAAAUAAGCAUGUGAUGAAGUGAUAAUUAUUUAUUAUGCAAAGGAUAGUUAAAUGUAAUUAAAGUGUAGGAAAAUAAUCUUGUAUGCUAAGUAGUGAUCUAAUAUGCUGAAAAUUAUCCCUUUUAAAAGGCUAAAAAACUAGUUAAAGUGUUGAAAAUAUGCUGAAAUUAGUGCUAAAAGUCAAAUUUAUAUUGCUGGAAAGUGAUUUUAAUGCUGAGAAUAUUAUUUAAAAUGCUGAAAAGGUGAACUAAUAUGCCAAAAGUGAUAAAAAUGCUGAAAUUAUAAUUAUCCUGAUUUAAUGUUGAACAGUGAUUUUUGUACUAGAUAUUACCUUUUAAAUGCGAAAAAUUUAGUUAAUGAGUUUAAAAAAAUGUUAUUAGAAAGUUGAAAAUUAAAUAUAAUCAUUGAGAGUGUGAAAGAAUGCCAAAGAUGUCAUUUGUAAUAUGUCAAAUUUUGUUAAACAUGCCAAGGGUAAAAUACGUUACAAGCAUAUUCAAACAUAAUCUUGAUAAUGAGAAAUUAGUUAAACUCCUAAAAUCAUGAUUUCUAAAUAAUACGCAAUUUAAUUAAUGAAUCCUAAAUUAUGUAACCUAGGUGAUUCAUAUAGCAUAUAAAACACGUAGCCCUAAGUUAUGUUAGCCUACGUGAUUCAUCGAGCACAUAAAUCCCCGUCCCCUAAGCAGUCCAGAAUUCAUUAUAUCGAGAUUUAUAAAAAUUAUUACAACACAGUGAUUUAAAAUAAAUAGCUAAGUAAGGAAAAAAGGAUGAACAACCCCUUCCCCGAUAUCCCAAUGACUCUUCAAGUCUCCAAAACUAUCUAUUUAUACCCGUGAGACAAUACGUAAUAGCAAUACGAGCAAGAAUAUAAUAUAACACAAACAUAGCAAGCAAAUACCGAAUAAUUCUUGCAAACAUGUUUACUAACAUCAUCAAUAAAGAAAAUUACGUCGACAGAGACUUACUGAUUGAUGAUAACAUAAAGUAAUAAUAAGAAAACCCAAGCAGUACAGGAUCACAGAGAGGUCGAAAUCAAUGCUCCAACAGUAAGUAUAGAAAUUAAUAAAGUCAGAUUGUUUCUUGUUCGCUUAAAACUUUCUUGUGAUGGUGUGAGUUGUAAGUUCUUGUUUAUCACAGAGAAUAGGUAGAGUAUAGAGAGUAAGGAGAGUGUAAAUAUUAUAGAUUACAAAUUGUAAGUUGUUGUCCUUUAAAGAAUGAGGAAGGGUGGUUUAUAUAGCAAAAGAGUUGUAGGCAAUCAAAAGAAUAAAGGAAGGGAUGGUAUUCCUCCAAUCAAUCAAGAAAAUCCUUUCCUUUUAACAAGUCAGCAAAAUCAAUUCAAUGGGCAUAAUUAUGCUAAAUUGUCAUUUAAAAACAUUCAAAUAAAAUUAGUCCAACAUUGAAAAGGAAAGGAGAUCAAAGUUACCUCCCAUAACUACAUAAAAUCUUUUCACUAAGAAAAGAAGCAAGUCACUAAUCACAGUGUAAGACAAAUGAAAAUUACGGAAUAAAUCCUACCUUACAUAGAAUAAUCAGAUAUGCAAAAAAAAAUCAAUCAAAGUUAUCAAAAUAAUCACUUACCCUAAAUUACUUAUCAAUUUACAUAAAUAGGAGAAUAAGAAUCAAAAGGGAAAAUCAGUAUCAUUAAUCAAUCACAAAUGUUUCCCAAAAAUAGAAAUGGGAAAUGGAAUAAGGAUAAUUUUAACAAUCAAUCACAGUAUUAAUAUCCUUAAUCAAAUAAAUUAAAUCAAUUCGGAGCCAAGUUACCUUAAAUAGGUGAGUAAAAAAAUAAAAAUAAAAAUAUGAAUAUGCCAUUUACCAAAAUAAGAAGCAAACAAUCAAAUUACUGUAAUUACACAUGAAACCUAAUUCAAAUUGUCAAAUAAUCCCGUACAUUUGCUGGCAUGUUAAGGUAAAUUAGACAUAUUCAAAUAGUUGAGCACGAGAUUAUCAUAAUUUCAAAUUUGGGAUACUGCGCACAUAACUCAAAUAUAAAAAUCAAGAGUAGACGAAAAACCACAAUUCCAUCGUAACUCAUGCCAACAACAUAACAGAGAAUCAAAGUUAAAGCAAGAAAUUGGAAUUUUUAAUAUAUGACGAUCUAAGCACCCAAAUCACAAAAAGUAACAUCAAGAACAUCAACCGAAGCUCAAUCUAUUUAAAAUCAUAGAACUAAUAUAAUAAUAGAAAGAAUAAAUAAGAUAAAACCUGUAAUAGUCGACCUAAUUCCAAAUAAGUUAUUAAUCGUUAC